This 523-nucleotide ribosomal RNA is filed under the name uncultured bacterium. RNAcentral's name for it is "bacterial SSU rRNA". It matches the Rfam family "Bacterial small subunit ribosomal RNA", at positions 1 to 509 of the family's 1533-position model. The record is from RNAcentral.
CGAACAGCUAGUAGUUUGACUCCGUGGCUACGAGGACGAACGCUGGCGGCGUGGAUUAGGCAUGCAAGUCGAACGGUAUAAACCUUCGGGGUUUAGAGAGUGGCGAACGGGUGAGUAACACGUAGGAAUCUACCCUUAAGACGGGGACAACCCAGGGAAACUUGGGCUAAUACCGGAUGAGAGUGCGAGAGAUUGCAUUUAAAAGGAUGGCGAAAGUUGUCGCUUAGGGAUGAGCCUGCGGUCUAUUAGUUAGUUGGUGAGGUAAGAGCUCACCAAGGCGAUGAUAGAUAGGCGGCCUUAACGGGUGGUCGCCCACACUGGGAUUGAGAUACGGCCCAGACUCCUACGGGAGGCAGCAGUCGAGAAUAGUCUACAAUGGCCGGAAGGCUGAUAGUGCGACGCCGCGUGAACGAGGGAGCCCUUCGGGGUGUAAAGUUCUUUUCUAUACGAGCAGUGCUAUAUAUAUGGAUAGUAUAUAUAGAGGGAUAGUAGUAUAGGAAUAAGCAACGGCUAACUCCGUGCC